Molecule: unclassified non-coding RNA, 305 nt
Filed under: fungal sp.
Lineage: Eukaryota; Fungi
Description: partial internal transcribed spacer region
Rfam family: Eukaryotic small subunit ribosomal RNA (bases 1-46)
Source: RNAcentral
AAGUCGUAACAAGGUAACCGUAGGUGAACCUGCGGUUGGAUCAUUAAUAUAUUUUCUUAUUUUUCCCUAGGCCUUUUCUUUACGGGAAAGUCCAAGGGAAGAAUUAACCCCAAUUGUGAACCAUUUAUUGUAUUUUUGGGUCAAGGUGGUGGUAAAAAACCAGUAAAAACUUGAAAAAAAACCUUACCCAUCUUUAUUUAAGCACUAGUAGAAUAAACUUGUCUUUAAAAACAACUUUUUUUAUAAAGUUAUAUUUAUAUAAUAAAAAAAAAAAACAACUUUUGACAACGGAUCUCUAGGCUCUC